This is a long non-coding RNA of Talpa occidentalis (Iberian mole), 6997 nucleotides long. RefSeq lists it as uncharacterized. The record is from RefSeq and is a predicted model, not a curated record. The transcript has 4 exons. Lineage: Eukaryota; Metazoa; Chordata; Mammalia; Eulipotyphla; Talpidae.
CAAAGAGACAAUAUGAGAAAACUGCUGCUGCAUAGUCUUAAAAUCAAUCAAGACUUGCUGUUGGCUUGUAGACGUAGAUGGAACACUGAGAUAAGAACUUCUAGAAUUUCUCACGCCUAAGGACAACACCCCCCCACCCCAUGCAAAGGGGAAGGGAACCAAAUAUACAUAUUGGGGAUCAAAAUGUCCUAGGUGGAGUGAAAGGAGAAAUUCAGACACCGAAACCAAGAAAGGUGUGACAUGAGAAAGGGCUGCUCAAGAUAGUCAUUGACUAGAAAACUCAGAGAAUCCCUCCCUUAAAAGGUCCCUGUGAAAAGGGUCUCAGAGAAUGUCAGCUGGGGUCAGAAGGGAACAGGAAAGUGACUCAGCAGACGUUUAUUGCACUCCCCUUAUGUGCCAAGAAAUACAUGGAAUUCUGGGAGUGUGUAACACAGGAGAAAAGGCUCAAUGCCAAGGAGCCCCACCUAAGAGGAGAUUUGAAAUCUCAGCCUGAGAUGGGAAAAUGCUGGAAGCUUUGAGGGAGAUUCUCCAUGCAGAAACCAGUGGUGCUCCUGCAAUACCUGUUCCAUAGUCCUGCCUCUUGGAAAUGCAGGUUAAAUCUGAGUUAGAAACCAGACUUAUUGAGUUUUAUUGCUCUCAGGAAUUUUACAAUUAGUCUUCUAUCUUCCUAUUAUAGUUACAUUUUCUGAAGACAUGUAUCCGGAAAGGAUCAUUAUGUAUUCAAUGUUUUUGAAAAAAUGGGUCAGAAAGAAAUGUUCAUGUUGUAUCCCAGAAUAACCCAGUUGGGUUCCAGAAAUGUUUUGCUAAAUGGUCAUUUCUGCAAUUACAAAGUACUGGAAUUCUUUUUGAGUUGGAAAGACUUUUGACAGCCACCAUUUUUCUAUUUCUUUUCCUUUUAAAAUUCCUACUGUGUGCCAGCUGUGAUUGUUGGUACUGUAUUUUUGUAUCGACACAUUUUUCUCUUGCCUUCGUUUUACUGAUGAGAGAAGUGAAGACAUCCAAAAAAUCUGUAUUUUUCCUAAGGUUUUGUAAUUCUGAGAAAUGAUCAGCUGGUAUUUGAAAUUGGAAAACUCCAUGUGAAAGUCAAGCCUCUCAUUUUCAGAUGAGUCUAUUGAAGUUCCAACUGAAGUCACUGGUCUCAUUUAUUGCAGAUUUUGUAGUGCAGGGCUUCUGAAUUUGUGACCAGUGUGCUUACUGUGACGAGAGAAUCACCCCUUAGGACAGCCACUGCCUUUGGUUUCUGUCCUUUCCAAUGCAGCCUGCCUAUAAUCACCCUAAAACAUUCUUUCAUCCUAACUCUUACCACUUCCCUCCAUACACAAAACUUGUGGUUUCCCAAACUAUACGUGAUGGGCUCAAACUCUGUCCUGAUCGCUAACAUGUCUGCCAUGGAGCCCCAAAUUCAGAUAUUUUUUCUUGAGUUCUUUGGGCAUGUAAGAACACUGUUCUCCAGUUCAAUUCCAAGAUGGAAGAAAUGCUAAAGUAGUCCCAUGCAUGAACAAAAUAGGCGCGUUCCUAUCUCUAUCUUUAUUUACCAUAUUCUGCUUGUUGGUAUGCCACCUUCCUUUUAGAGCUAUAGUCCAAAUGCUGCCCCUCUUUUAAAGCCAUUACCUCAUUUGUGACUCUUGUGAGUUUCCAUGGUUGUAGGGUCUGUUGCUCUUGCUGAGGGAUAAGGGAUAAACAGGCUGAACUAGACCCACAGACAGAAGCUUGGAGAAGGGUAUAGUGAUGGAUGUCCCCAAGGCUAAUAAUCAACAGUCACAGGGUGGUAGCAUAUUGAGCAUGUGCUGUGCCUUGGCACAGAGCAAUGUUGUCAUAUCCUUAAAUCCUCACAGCAAGUCAUCAGGUUACUGCAGCUGGGAUUCUGGCCCAGUUAUGUCUGAAGCCUGUGCCCUCUCUUGCUAUUUUGUCAAUUCUCAAGAUAAUUGAUUAUGGGGCAGGAAAAGAAUGAGCAACCCUCUAAAUGGAAGAUUAAAGAGAUGAAACAAACUUGGGGUCAUAGACUGGAACAAUGCAGUAAGGAACGCUGGAACUGGAAGAAAUGAAGGGCAAAACUACAAAGGAGCACUCUUGUCUGUGGCCUUCAGUCACUGGAGACUUUUACAAAAGGAGGCAACUUAGGACUUGCAGUGUUUACUCACUCAUGCAUCCUGCUUUAUAUUUUAAGGCUCUGGGUUCCCGGGUUUCCUAAAGGCAGUGACUAUGUCUCCAUCUUUGUGAAGUAGAGACACAUCUUACCAAGUGGCACAGCAGAGGUGCAAAGGGACAAGCACCUGGGUCUGCCUAGGAAUGUGAGGAGGCUUCCCAGAGAGCUGAAGGGUCCUGGUAGAGCAGGGGACCAAAGUGGGGGAUACCUGAGGCAGAGAGAGCCAGACACACAUUGAGGGAGGAAAGUAGGAUUAAUUGGAGCACUGUUCAGGGAUGUGCCUACAUUGUGGGAGGAGAGAAGGCAGGGAAGGCAGCUUGAGGCUGGGCAUAAAUGGAAAGACCAAUCCCCCACCUCAAAUGCCUCACCCAUCCCAGACCACUCCCAACCCCUUACAAUUUCACCGGUUGCCUUGUUUCUGAGGCUUGGACACUCCUUGCUCAUCUAGGGGAUUCUACUCAUCUUUCAAGACAUUUUAGACAUGUGUCCUGUGAGGUCUGCAUUGGUUCCCUCAAACAGAAAUCACUGUCUCUGAAGUGUCUGUUCUACACCUCUGUUCUAGCACUAGUCACACUGUUUUGUCUUCCCUACUAUCGUGAGAGCUUCUUGCAGGGGGAGAAAUUUUGUCUUCAUUUUGCGCUCUCACUGCCACAUAGUAGGUACUCGGCACAUCUUGAUGAUGGAAUGACUGAUCCAGCAUUCAUGUGUCUUUCAGGCAGAGUGCGAGCUGUCAGUGGGGACCAACCGAUCUCUCUGGGGAGAGGGGAGGGGCAUCUCGCUAUUUGCUCUGUGAAGGCUGAUGGGGGCUGCAAGGUUGAGGCAGGCCAGCCUCCUGCUCAUCUGACUCUCUGCAACCUCUGCUACCCGCCCACCAGGCAAUGUGAUUUCUCUGCAUUUUUCCCCUUUGUCACUUUGUUUUCUUUCCUACAAGGAGUGUAGCAACCCCUCAGGAGUUUGAUUAUAUUGCAAGAUGAACAAGAUAUUCGAAUUAUGCUAUUUAAAUGAGUCAUCCCAACUCUAGUGUAAUUGUUCACCCCCUGUCACACUCAACGUGAUCUACAUUUCCAAAGGAGUAUUCUGGCCUGAAUAGGGAAUUGCUGAAAUUGUUGGGUUCCAGUUCUCAGUGGCUUAUCAUUUGCAUCACAGAGUAUGCCUUUUGUUUCAUAUCUGGGCAGAUGUGGACUUUUAAAUGGUCACUCACUAGAGCUACCAGAACAAGCUGCAUGUACUUAUUGAGAGAAGUUUACUGAUUUUCUGGAAGUUGUACGUGCGUGGUAUGCAUGGAGGAGCAGAGAGGAGCAGCACAAUGCAGGAUAGUGCAGAAGAAGAUGUCUGACUUUGGUUAAGCAAUUAUUGAACAAGCACAGUGUGACCAGUGCUAGAAAACUCAGGCUGAGCAAAUUCAGGAUUUGGAUUUGUGGUCUGAAACCUUCUUGCUUCACAUUUUCGUUUUGAGAGUUUCGGUUACUCUGAGAACCAAGUCACCAGUGUUCUUCUCAGCCCUGUUAUGCCUUAGAAUUUCUUCCAUUUUCUAACUGAACUGAAGGACAGGAUUCUUACAGUGUCCAAAUAGAGUAGGGCCUAUUUGCCUUUAUUGCUAAUUUCUUUUAAUGAAGAGAACAUGAUUGAGUGUCAGGUUGUCAAAUAUAACAAACUCCAAAGCAGCUCUCAAAGUCUAUAAAAAUCUCAGAUAGGAACUGGUAUUAUGUGGUCUCAGGCAUUUUGAUUAGUCAAACUCCAUGUGCUUGAGUCUAUGGGGCAAGUUCCCAAAGAUAAAAAGGAAUUAAACUUUAAAAAUUAGGGGUGAGCAGAUUUCCUAAAGGUGAAGUCAGUAUUACAUUUAUUCAGCAGAUAUUGAUUGUGUGCUGAUGUAUCAAGCAUAUGCUCAGGGGCUGGUGGUCCUUGAUCGAGAAGUUCACAGUCUAGUGUGGUUGACAGGCAUGCAAAUGGCUACUACAUAAUGGAGGUGUGUCAGAAAUGCUGUGGGAAAAUAGGCCACCAGAGUCGGCCCAAGGAGAUUGGGGAAAGCUUUAAAAAGAAUGAGGUGCUUUUGUUGGAACUUGAAGGAUGAGUAGUGGUGUCUACCGGGGUGGACAAUUGGAGGAGGAUAUGGUAGGCAGAAGGUAGGGUGGGCAGGGUCUCAUGUCAGUGACUGAGAUGAGGCAGUUAAAGCAUACAUAAAGGGAUUUGUGAGCUAAAGUGUGUUAGUUUUGCACUAUAGAAGUAUUAGUAUGUGUUUAACUGCAAUGAGCAGAAAUCCCCAACCCUACUGACAUAAAAACUAAAGAAAAAAUUUUUGCAUAUUUAUAUAUAUAUAUAUACACACACACACACCCAGAGGCAGGGCAGUUCCAAGACAACUGAAUUCAGUGGCUUAACUCUAUCAUUAAGGACUGAGGCACUUUCCAUUUUUCUGCUCUGCCAUCCUUUGUGUGCUGGUUUAUCUUCAGAUUUACUCUUCUGGUUGCAACAUGACUAAACAAGAAGAGGGGUUUAUUUAUUUAUUUCUUCUCUUCAGGGUCUAGAAGGGUCUUUUUAAUCAGUGAGGAAAAACUUUCUUAAGAAAUACCCCACCAGACUCAUCCUAUUGCCUCAGUGGGCAAUGUUGCAUCACAUGCCCAAUCCUAAACCAUUCACUGGCAAGGGGAAUGCAACCACCAUGACUGGCGCAGACCAAUCUUGAUUCAUCCUUUGAUGGUACAGGACCAUUCCUCUGAAGCACAUGGCCAAGUAAAGGAUACUAGAACAAAAUUAGGCUUCCGAUAGAAAGUAGGGAAAAGGAGACUAAUGGUUGCUGAGUUGGUAACCAUUAGCACUUGCAACAGUAGAUGAAGAGAAGCUAUAGUACACAAUUGAGUAGGAGUUGACAUGACCUGCUUUUCUUAUUGAAAGGAUAUCACCCUGUCAUUAGUGUAGUUUGGUUUUAUAGAUAGAAAGGUUGAGAACAAAUGGAAUAAUCUCACAAGAAUUCACAUAACUGAGAAACAUACCUAUAUAUCUAUCUAUAUCUAUAAUCUAUAUAUAUGGAUCUAGUGCUAAAAUAUUAUCUGAGUCAUGCUUUCUACCUUAAAGGUGGGGAGUGGAGUUUAAGGAAUGGGGAGGUAAAUGGUGCAGAACAAAGACUUCCCAUUUUGGACUUGUCAACAAGUCCCUUAUGGUACUGGGGCAAGCAUGAGAUCUCUUUAAAGUCCAUAUGAUAAUAUAGCCCAUUCACAAGGGCCAUUUUAAUCUUAGAAUCCUAGCAUGUUUGAACUAGAAGUGACCUUUAAGUCAUUUAGUUCAAGAACUUUAUUUUACAAAUGAACUUCAUUUACAAAUGAAAACAAGCAAAGUGACUUGUUAAAUUCCUAUGUCUGGCAUAUGGCUGCAAAUUUUCUCAACUCUAAGCCCAGAGCUCUUUGUAAAGCGUUCUCAGGGCCAUUUUUCUGAUGGAGGCUUAAGUGUGUGUUCAAGAGGGCUAGAGAGGCCGUGCUGGCCUUCUUCCUAUGCUUCUCUUAUCCUUGGCAAUCAUAUCAUGGUUGAUUUUUUUUUUUUAAUGAGGUUUUGGUUUCUAGGAAAAUGCAAACUAUAUAAGUAGAUAUAUAGUUAGUUUCAUUCGGAUCUUAGUGUGAAUGUGUCCUUCUGGUUUUUGCCUUUGAAACAUUUUUAAUUUUUAAAUGGGGACUAGGCAUGAGACCUUUGUGCACUGGGCAAUGGGGGAGAGGAAAGGAAGCCCUAGGAAGAAGUGCUAAGACGUGGAGUGGGAGAUUUGAGGUUCACUACUUUGUUGUGGGCUUUUCCUGUGCCACCAAACCAAAUAAAACACAAGAUAAGAGUCUUAGUGAGUGAGACAUUAAUAAAGGGUAAUUGCUGUGCUAGUGUGAGGCGGAAGCUCAGGUCCUUUCUCCUGGGUGCUCCAAUGCCCAUCAAUGAUCCAUCAUCACACUGUCUCCACACCUUCCUUUGGCUGCCAGUGUAUGUGCCCACAUCCCCUAGAACAUGCACAAAUCUUGGCUAAGACUUUUCUCCAAAAACAUCUGUAAAUUCACUCACGUAGACAGAUGAGUGCUUGGAACAACAAGAAGCAAAAAAGAAAAAAGAAAGCAAAACUGUAAAAAUGAUUUCAAAAUCAAGAUCUUACUGACAAAAGUGCUGUGUGCAAAUUAUCAAGCCUGAUUAAAGACUGACCAACUUUGCUUUUGAAAAUAUUUUUAAACUAUAUUAGUUUAUUUUUUCUGCUAGCAUGCCAAAUAUAGAACUUUUAGAUAGCAGGUGGGAUUUCGAUAAAAUCUUUAUAAACCAAGGCGUUCUUGAAUAUAGUGUAAAAAAGUAUUCCAUUUCUGUAAAGCAGUGAAAAGAUGGGGAAAAAUUCUAUACACAUUUGUUAAUGCCUGUGUGAGAUUAUUUAAGCCUAGAGAAACAUAUGGAAGGAUUAAUAUAAAAGAUUUAAUAUGGGUUAAGUUGUUAUAGGCAAUGUUGAUGUGGGUAGAAGAGAAGGGUUGAGGUAAAAGCAGAAAGGGGGCCUGAAAAGGGCAUGGAUGUCAUGACAUUUAUAUAAAUUUACAUAUAUAUGUAUAUAAACAAUUGCAUAAUAUUAUAAAAGUGAUCUGGUAAAUGAGUAAACAGAAUGACUAAUUCCCAUGUACACCUAAAUUAUAAUUCACUUCAGAUGUUUGGUUGGAUUGCAUGAUCAUUAAGGAGUCAUCAAACUUGAAAUUUUGUAGUUCUAAAUUAAAGGUGAUAAAAUGUGGAUGGGAAUGCUGUUCUAUUUUAAUUUACAUUUUGUUCUACUUUCAUUGACUUGUUAUAUAGUUUUUUAAUCUCCGUUCAUUUUUGCUAUCUUCCUAUCAGUAAAUUCUGAAUUAUAAUAAA